CACGUAGGGUGCGAGCGUUGUCCGGAAUUAUUGGGCGUAAAGAGCUCGUAGGCGGUGUGUCGCGUCGGCCGUGAAAACCUGCAGCUUAACUGUGGGCUUGCGGUCGAUACGGGCAUCACUGGAGUUCGGCAGGGGAGACUGGAAUUCCUGGUGUAGCGGUGAAAUGCGCAGAUAUCAGGAGGAACACCGGUGGCGAAGGCGGGUCUCUGGGCCUUACCUGACGCUGAGGAGCGAAAGCGUGGGGAGCGAACAGG
RNAcentral lists this ribosomal RNA (254 nucleotides) under uncultured bacterium. RNAcentral's name for it is "partial 16S ribosomal RNA". It matches the Rfam family "Bacterial small subunit ribosomal RNA", at positions 524 to 776 of the family's 1533-position model. The record is from RNAcentral.